Molecule: ribosomal RNA, 428 nt
Filed under: uncultured bacterium
Lineage: Bacteria
Description: bacterial SSU rRNA
Rfam family: Bacterial small subunit ribosomal RNA
Source: RNAcentral
GUGGGGAAUAUUGGGCAAUGGGCGCAAGCCUGACCCAGCAACGCCGCGUGAAGGAAGAAGGCUUUCGGGUUGUAAACUUCUUUUGGCAGGGACGAAAACAAUGACGGUACCUGCAGAAUAAGCACCGGCUAACUACGUGCCAGCAGCCGCGGUAAUACGUAGGGUGCAAGCGUUAUCCGGAUUUACUGGGUGUAAAGGGCGCGUAGGCGGGAAUGCAAGUCAGAUGUGAAAUCUGUGGGCUCAACCCACAAACUGCAUUUGAAACUGUAUUUCUUGAGUGAUGGAGAGGCAAGUGGAAUUCCUAGUGUAGCGGUGAAAUGCGUAGAUAUUAGGAGGAACACCAGUGGCGAAGGCGACUUGCUGGACAUUAACUGACGCUGAGGCGCGAAAGCGUGGGGAGCAAACAGGAUUAGAUACCCGGGUAGUCC